Molecule: transfer RNA, 73 nt
Organism: Mesitornis unicolor (brown roatelo)
Lineage: Eukaryota; Metazoa; Chordata; Aves; Mesitornithiformes; Mesitornithidae
Rfam family: tRNA
About the family: Transfer RNA (tRNA) molecules are approximately 80 nucleotides in length. Their secondary structure includes four short double-helical elements and three loops (D, anti-codon, and T loops).
Source: Rfam
GUUUCUGUAGUGUAGUGGUCAUCACGUUCGCCUCACACGCGAAAGGUCCCCGGUUCGAAACCGGGCAGAAACA